GACGAACCGUGCGAACGUUAUUCGGAAUCACUGGGCUUAAAGCGCGUGUAGGCGGGACGGCACGUCGGUCGCUGAAAGCCCCCGGCUCAACCGGGGAACGGGCGCCGAUACGACCGCCCUGGAGGGACGUAGGGGGACCUGGAACUUCCGGUGGAGCGGUGAAAUGCGUUGAGAUCGGAAGGAACGCCCGUGGCGAAAGCGAGGUCCUGGACGUUUUCUGACACUGAGACGCGAAAGCCAGGGGAGCGAACGGG
This 254-nucleotide ribosomal RNA is filed under the name uncultured bacterium. Its description in RNAcentral is "partial 16S ribosomal RNA". It matches the Rfam family "Bacterial small subunit ribosomal RNA", at positions 524 to 776 of the family's 1533-position model. The record is from RNAcentral.